CCCCCCCACUCCCCUUCACUAUAAGCCCACACAGGAGGACUUCAGAAGUCACAUACUUUUCAAGCUCAUACAUUCAACAAAUUAUACACGUAAUGUGUAAAACAUUUAAUAAAUUAGUAUAACCCCAACACAAUGUUUGCUACUGUAUUAAAAGCAUUUAUUUAAAAUAUGUCCACCUCCUUCCAAAAGAUGGAAGACACAGGAACCCAUCUCUUAUAUCGUGAGGUAUAUGGUAACAACAAUAAUCCUAAAUGCAAAAGGACCGUCAGGUGCCUAAAUAUAAAAUUGAACUUUGGCAAAGAUACGAGUGUUAUACAAAAUAACACAGCCAAUAAGGAAAUACAUAUUUUUUACACCAUUUCCCCCUAUCAUGGCCCUGUCCCCUUUCACUCUUCCCUCUGAAAGGAUGAGUUAUAACCCUGUCCAGAUGACUCAGAAUUUUAAGGAUUAACAUUUAUUCUUUUCAAACUUCAGUACUACAGCUAUACAAAUUACACUUUAAAAUAUUUGAAACAGAUAUUGAAUUUAUUGGUUGGCUAUGAGUAGGAAAAUACAUUGGUAAAGAAAAGACACCCUGUAUAUAAAUAUAAUACUACCUAGUUACAAUUUGACCAAGAAGGUUCCACUGAAAAGAAGAUUAAAAGCCCUUGUUACCACCAGUCCAUACGGUCUAAAUUCAGUUUUCCAUUACCCUUAUCAAAGAGCUGCCUAGGCAAAUGUGACAUUCUUUGAGCUUAGUGCAGAUAAUGUGCUGGGUUUUCUUAUUACACGAAUGGUAAACAAGAGUUAGUCCAGUGCAUUACACAAUAUAAUGUACUGUGAAUAAAGACUAGAUACUCUAUUUUAGACACUACAUCAACAUACCAGUUUUUAAAUUUUACAUAACCAAAAGGAAGAGCAAAGCGAACAUCUUAAAUACUGUUUGUAAGUGGGGGACAGACCCUUCCUUAAAGCGUUCCUCCCACUGUCUGCCAAUAGCUAUGCUGAUAUUCUGAUUUUGGCAAGACUAGGGAUUGAACCCAAGGUCUUUGCAGUGAGCUACAUCCCCAGCCCUUUUAAAAAAUGCAGCUGAGACAGGGUCUCUAAGGAUUAAAUUGCCCAGGUGGGGAUCAAACUUGUGAUCCUCCUGUCUCAUCCUUCCAGAGUACUGGGAUUACAGGCAUGCACAACCACACUUGGCUUUGAUUCAUUAAAAGACCAAAGGGUUGGUAACUGUUUUUGUUUUAGGUUGGCUUUUGUAUGACAUGACCCCCAAACCUUAAAAAGUCACGAUGGAAACUAAUUCCUUAAGUUUGAACAGUAAGAAAAGUGGAACUCUAAAACUUGAAUGUUAUUAUCAAAAACCUCAAUCUUAGAAAGGAUUUGAAACUGUAAUUUCAACAUUCAGAAGUGCAUGCCAUCCAAUUUACUGAUAUCCUUAGGUUUCAAAGUGCUAACCCAAAAUAAGUUCUCCUGGUUGCCCCCCAAUCAAAAAUACAAAUGAAAACUCGUUUCUUGGAGAUGUUCUCUGCCUAUCUUCUGGGACUAUUAAAGUUGCAAUCAACAAUUUACUUCUACAACUUUAGUUUAAAUUAUGCCAUAAAUUAAUUUUGAUGAACAUUAUUUAAAUUCUCAAAGCAUAAAUAAUUACCACUAAUAUUGUAAAACGUAUUCAAGAGAUUUACAACAAGGAAUUGAGUGCCUCCAAAUUUCUCAUCUUUAAAACAAAAAAACCACAUCCCAAAUUUUCUGUAAAACAUUCCUAAGAUGAUUUUUCCAGCAAGAACACUGAAAUUACAUUAUGGCAAAACAUUAAAUACAUGUUACAGAAUUUUUGUAAAAUAAUCUACACUACGAAAACAAACUAGUUUUUAUUGCAUUUUAGGAGUAUGGAUUAUUGGAAAUUAUUCAGGACACAGAAAAUAUCCAGAACAUAAACCCUCGCUUAAUGAAAGUAUCAUAGUCUGUUUUGGUGUGAACGUUUAUCCGCGAUUGACUCAAACUAUUUCUUUUUCUUUUGAAGGUUACAGUUGUAAAUCUGCACUCUUGGUUUAAUUUACACUAUCUACGUAAGGUGGAGAAGCUGUUCAAACUGAUUCACAGACGCAGUGUGCCUGGAAGAGGCAAAAACAAGUACUCUCAAGACACAGCAGGCCAUUCUAUCUUAGUAUGCGGUCCCAAAUUUCAAAUAUAUUAUACACAGUAACAAAUACAGAUGAAAACAUUUUGUGUAAAGCUCAAACCUGUAGCAUCUAACAAGUGCACUCUAGCUCCAGCAUCUAUGAAAAGAACACAUCUUCCGAUAACAAACAGAACAGUAAGUGCUCCUCCUCCCAACCACAAAGCCCUCUGGACCUUUGAUACCACAAUCGGGUCCCAUGAAGAGCAGCUUCCUCCAUCAGUACAACCGGCUCCAGAUCACCCUCACCGGAAAUUGUCAUGAUGCACAUACAACACAGUGUUUAGGGAAAAUGAGUAAACACACUUUCAUUCUCACUUUACAAAAAAAUAAAACAAAACCCAUAAAAAGUCAUGAACUGGUUCUACAUUAGUAACACCAGCUUUGCAACGUACUGAUUAUAAACUAAAUGUGUUUGGUGUUGGCACAAUUUAAAAAGUGCCAAAAAAAAAAAAAAAAAAAUUAC
This is a long non-coding RNA of Heterocephalus glaber (naked mole-rat), 2624 nucleotides long. NCBI's taxonomy places the organism in Eukaryota, Metazoa, Chordata, Mammalia, Rodentia, Bathyergidae. The record is from Ensembl.